CAUAAUUUGUGUUCUUCAUUUAUUGGAUCAAAAUUACAAAUGGAUCAGAAUAUAUUGCUUGGAUCAGAAUUAAUUAUAUAUUUUUUUGAAAACUAUGAGACGAGUCAUACCGCUGAGUCAAAUACCAUGCGUUAGGAUCAAAUUUAAUUUGACCAUCGAUCUAAAAUAAUUUUUUUUUAAAUUGUAGAAAAUGUACUCCGUCAUAUUCUUUUCUUCUUCUUUUUGAUAAAUGAUAUAUAUGGAGAUAAGCUAGACAAUAGUGUUUGUUUCCCUACUUAGUUCCUAACUAUUUUUAUGUAUCCACGUACAUCAAUAUUUUUUAUAGAUAUAAAUUAAUGAUCAUAUAUGUAUGAUGUCAAUUACUUGUUCACAA
RNAcentral lists this long non-coding RNA (373 nucleotides) under Panax ginseng (ginseng). RNAcentral describes it as "long non-coding RNA (PGIN_LNC005328)". The record is from RNAcentral. Lineage: Eukaryota; Viridiplantae; Streptophyta; Magnoliopsida; Apiales; Araliaceae.